This 2883-nucleotide ribosomal RNA is filed under the name uncultured bacterium. RNAcentral describes it as "bacterial LSU rRNA". It matches the Rfam family "Bacterial large subunit ribosomal RNA". The record is from RNAcentral.
AGUGCAUGUGGUGGAUGCCUUGGCGAUUACAGGCGAUGAAGGACGUGGUAGCCUGCGAAAAGCUUCGGGGAGCUGGCAAACAAGCUUUGAUCCGGAGAUGUCCGAAUGGGGAAACCCACUCCGCAAGGAGUAUCCCUGACUGAAUACAUAGGUCAGUGGAGGCGAACCCGGCGAACUGAAACAUCUAAGUAGCCGGAGGAACAGAAAUCAACCGAGAUUCCCCAAGUAGUGGCGAGCGAACGGGGAUCAGCCUGCAAGAGAUAACGCAUUGGUUAGUGGAACAGUCUGGAAAGUCUGGCCAUAGUGGGUGAUAGCCCCGUACACGAAAACCAGCGCGCGAGACUAAGCUUGCGACAAGUAGGGCGGGACACGUGAAAUCCUGUCUGAAGAUGGGGGGACCAUCCUCCAAGGCUAAAUACUCGUAAUCGACCGAUAGUGAACUAGUACCGUGAGGGAAAGGCGAAAAGAACCCCGGGAGGGGAGUGAAAUAGAUCCUGAAACCGCAUGCAUACAAACAGUGGGAGCGGACUUGUUCCGUGACUGCGUACCUUUUGUAUAAUGGGUCAGCGACUUACGUUCUGUAGCAAGCUUAACCGAAUAGGGGAGGCGUAGCGAAAGCGAGUCUGAUAAGGGCGUAAGAGUGAAAACUCGAGUUGCAGGGCGUAGACCCGAAACCAGAUGAUCUAUCCAUGGCCAGGAUGAAGGUGCCGUAACAGGUACUGGAGGUCCGAACCCACUAAUGUUGAAAAAUUAGGGGAUGAGCUGUGGAUAGGGGUGAAAGGCUAAACAAAUCUGGAAAUAGCUGGUUCUCCCCGAAAGCUAUUUAGGUAGCGCCUCAUGUAUCACCACCGGGGGUAGAGCACUGUAAUGGUUGAAGGGGUCAUUGCGAUCUACUUCGCCAUAGCAAACUCCGAAUACCGGUGAGUGCGAGCAUGGGAGACAGACGGUGGGUGCUAACGUCCAUCGUCAAGAGGGAAACAACCCAGACCGCCAGCUAAGGUCCCAAAGUCAUAGUUAAGUGGAAAACGAGGUGGGAAGGCAUAGACAGUCAGGAAGUUGGCUUAGAAGCAGCCAUCCUUCAAAGAAAGCGUAAUAGCUCACUGAUCGAGUCGUCCUGCGCGGAAGAUGUAACGGGGCUCAAACUAUGCACCGAAGCUGCGGAUAUUCGUAAGAAUAUGGUAGGGGAGCGUUCUGUAGGUCUGCGAAGGUGGGGUGUAAACCCUGCUGGAGAUAUCAGAAGUGCGAAUGCUGACAUGAGUAGCGAUAAAGGGUGUGAAAAGCACCCUCGCCGAAAGCCCAAGGUUUCCUGCGCAACGUUCAUCGGCGCAGGGUGAGUCGGCCCCUAAGGCGAGGCCGAAAGGCGUAGUCGAUGGGAAACGGGUUAAUAUUCCCGUACCAAUCACAGAUGCGAUGGGGGGACGGAGAAGGUUAGCUCAGCCGGGUGUUGGACGUCCCGGUUUAAGCGUGUAGAUGUGCCCGCUAGGCAAAUCCGGUGGGCUUAAUCAAGGCGUGAUGACGAGGAUCUUUGGAUCUGAAGUGAGUAAUACCAUGCUUCCAGGAAAAGCCUCUAAGCUUCAGUCUGUGAAUGACCGUACCGCAAACCGACACAGGUGGGCAGGAUGAAAAUUCUAAGGCGCUUGAGAGAACUCAGGAGAAGGAACUCGGCAAAUUGAUACCGUAACUUCGGGAGAAGGUAUGCCUCGGUAGUGUGUAGUCCCUCGCGGAUGAAGCACGAUGAGGCCGCAGAGAAUCGGUGGCUGCGACUGUUUAAUAAAAACACAGCACUCUGCAAAGGCGAAAGCCGACGUAUAGGGUGUGACGCCUGCCCGGUGCUGGAAGGUUAAUUGAUGGGGUGCAAGCUCCUGAUCGAAGCCCCAGUAAACGGCGGCCGUAACUAUAACGGUCCUAAGGUAGCGAAAUUCCUUGUCGGGUAAGUUCCGACCUGCACGAAUGGCGUAACGAUGGCCACACUGUCUCCUCCUGAGACUCAGCGAAGUUGAAAUGUUUGUGAAGAUGCAAUCUACCCGCGGCUAGACGGAAAGACCCCAUGAACCUUUACUGUAGCUUUGCAUUGGACUUUGACGGGACUUGUGUAGGAUAGGUGGGAGGCGUUGAGACGUGGUCGCUAGAUCGCGUGGAGCCAACCUUGAAAUACCACCCUGGUGUCGUUGAGGUUCUAACCUUGGUCCGUGAAUCCGGAUCGGGGACCGUGCAUGGCAGGCAGUUUGACUGGGGCGGUCUCCUCCCAAAGAGUAACGGAGGAGUACGAAGGUCUUCUAAGCACGGUCGGACAUCGUGCUCAUAGUGCAAUGGCAAAAGAAGGCUUGACUGCGAGACCCACAAGUCGAGCAGGUGCGAAAGCAGGUCAUAGUGAUCCGGUGGUUCUGUAUGGAAGGGCCAUCGCUCAACGGAUAAAAGGUACUCUGGGGAUAACAGGCUGAUUCCGCCCAAGAGUUCAUAUCGACGGCGGAGUUUGGCACCUCGAUGUCGGCUCAUCACAUCCUGGGGCUGUAGUCGGUCCCAAGGGUAUGGCUGUUCGCCAUUUAAAGUGGUACGUGAGCUGGGUUUAAAACGUCGUGAGACAGUUUGGUCCCUAUCUGCCGUGGGCGCUGGAUAUUUGAGGGGGCCUGCUCCUAGUACGAGAGGACCGGAGUGGACGAACCUCUGGUGUACCGGUUGUGACGCCAGUCGCAUCGCCGGGUAGCUAAGUUCGGAAGAGAUAACCGCUGAAAGCAUCUAAGCGGGAAACUCGCCUCAAGAUGAGAUAUCCCGGGGAUUUAAUCCCCCUAAAGGGUCGUUCUAGACCAGGACGUUGAUAGGCAGGGUGUGGAAGCGCAGCAAUGCGUUAAGCUAACCUGUACUAAUUGCCCGUGAGGCUUGACC